UAUAAAGAAGUUAGUGAUUUUGUUGCCCAUGUGGCUCUAUAGUCAUCCUGAUCUACUGAAAUUUCACUUUCACGUGGCAGAAGAGAUGGAUGCAUUCAAUAAUGUGUAGAUGUCAUCAACCUGGCAAGUGGUAUCAGAAAUCACAAGGAGACAGAUGCUGGAACGACUCAUACUUUCCUCUCCCUGGAGAAAGAAUUCAUCCUUCCAGUGGCCUCUCUAUAUGUGACAGCUACUGUUUGAUUCCCACUGGGAAGCUGUGGCCACCCCCGUUCUACCUGAACAGAGGGCAGAGGGUCCAGCCCAGGGGCUUGCAAGAUAUC
Molecule: long non-coding RNA, 320 nt
Organism: Vidua chalybeata
Lineage: Eukaryota; Metazoa; Chordata; Aves; Passeriformes; Viduidae
Exons: 3
Source: RefSeq, a predicted model, not a curated record